UAGUUCCAACAUUUCCCGGUAGAGGCGUCGUAAUAAGCGCAAUUUUAUCUUACAAACUUUCUCUUACAAUUACCGAAGCAUUUUCUUUUACAUAAAAACAGGGCAAAAUUAUUAUUGCUAAUUAGAUAUUGUACUCUUUGUUAGUAAGUUUAUUGUUUCUUCGCCAUUAUAAACGCAAAUAGCGUUCAGCAUCAUCGAUCUUUCACGUGACCUCUGGCCUGGAUUUAAAAUUUUUACCGGUAUUUCCGAGUGCACGGCGGCACGGAUUCAUUCGUUCGUACACUCAAGACUGGUUGCUUCUUUGUUUCUAAAACUAGUUUCUUGCGCUUCGAUGUAACUUGGGGUGAAGUUACGUGUUUGCAAGCGGACAUGUAAGCCCGGCAGUUGGGUUUCGGUCGUGAGCCAUUCGGAACAGGUCUGCAUCGAAACGGGAGCUGGAUUUUGCUGCGGCUGACAACGGCAAUAACGACAUGCAGUAAUGAGGACGGCGCCAGUAUAAAGCAACACACUCCACGCACUAAACAGAAGCUGCUGCCUGCUACAACAAGGUCAUUGUGUGGACAUUGGCUACUACUACAAGAGUCUAUGCCAAGCACAUCUUGGUCGUCACAGGAGCUCCUAUCUGCACUAACAGGAAGGGGCUGGAGCCGAAUUUGCAAGGCUUUUACACCAAGAACAAAGAAGCACAUGCACAAGAAUAUGGAUGAGAUAUCAAGUCUGCAAAGGACUGUGUUAAGACUGCAAAGAGCUUCAGCCACCAUUCCACCAGCACGGACAUUUGGCUGAGUCAUCCAGGUAACUCAAAAAGGACUUUCUAGAAAUUCUUCGUCUUCAGAUGCACCUGCAACAUCUGACCAAGCACGGACGACGCUGGCCAAAAGAUUGAGUUCCAUCAGUUUGCCCUUAAUCAGCUUCCUAGCCAUGUUAAUUCCGUUUGUGCCAAGUGUAAUUUUUCUUCUAUAAAUGCAAGCUUUCUCAUUGCCCAUUUUUGUUAGAGGUCAUUCAUCCUCAUCCAAAUAUAAAGGUCAACCGAUUCUUCGCUGAUACUUAAUACCAGUCACUGUCUAGCAGCCUAACAUAUCUGUAGCAGUAUCUUCUAGUGUAUGUUGUCAUGCGCAAUUACUCUCCUGAAAUAGCUGAUGCAGCAUCGGCAUGCGUCUUGCAUUAACCUAUGCACAUGUGCUAUGCACCAUUUUACUUUUCUUGAUGUUUUUAGCCUUCAAUGCUUGCAGAGCAGAGUGGCUUCUCUCUUGAAUGCAAGCUUUCUCAUUUUCCAUAUUCCUAGUCUCGUUGAUGAUUGCUCCUCUUCCUUGAUAGCCUGGGUCUUUGUGCAAGCUACAGUGAAGUGAUUGAUUGCAGAAUCUGGUUUUGCUGCCACACUUGGUUGUGGUAACUGUGUUACGUUUCUCAGA
Long non-coding RNA from Dermacentor albipictus, 1412 nucleotides. RefSeq lists it as uncharacterized. The record is from RefSeq and is a predicted model, not a curated record. Lineage: Eukaryota; Metazoa; Arthropoda; Arachnida; Ixodida; Ixodidae.